UUUGUGUGUCAUGAUACUUUGGCUAUCGUGUUGUAGCUCAUCGUUUAUUUGUUCGAGUAGGUUAAGCUUUGAUCAGCUGUCUUGGCAGCUAAUUGUGUACUUGGAUUGAUGUAUUAUAUACAUAGCUAAUCAUUGAUGCAAUGUAGGGGCCUUGCCCCCAUCUUUAGCAUUAUUCUAUUGAGGUUGUAGGCUUUGGCCCUUUUAGGUA
RNAcentral lists this long non-coding RNA (208 nucleotides) under Elaeis guineensis (African oil palm). Its description in RNAcentral is "long non-coding RNA (EGUI_LNC031050)". Lineage: Eukaryota; Viridiplantae; Streptophyta; Magnoliopsida; Arecales; Arecaceae. The record is from RNAcentral.